Molecule: non-coding RNA, 68 nt
Organism: Gorilla gorilla gorilla (western lowland gorilla)
Lineage: Eukaryota; Metazoa; Chordata; Mammalia; Primates; Hominidae
Source: Ensembl
ACUCUUUUAGUAUAAUUAGUACCGUUAACUUCCAAUUAACCAGUUUUGGUAGUACCCAAAAAAGAGUA